CUUGAAGAAGAGAAGAUGUUUUAAAGAAAGCUGACUGCUGGGAAAUGAAUGAAGGUGACAUCUCUACAAAAAGAGAAGUACCCUGUAGUGUUGGUAUGAAUGAAGUCAUUCAUUUUUCACUGAGCACUGACUUCAUGCUGAGACCUAAGCAACAAUUGUGGAACAAUGGACUUAGCAGUAAUUUAUUAUGGCAGACACUCUUCUCACCUUUUGACAGAGAACGUUGAUUAGAUGUCCAAAAGUGCCCGGUGUCCAAAAGUGUGAUAGAAAACAUGGAGAAGGUAUCAUCACCGUUUCACAGAUGCCUACAUUCCAGAG
This 318-nucleotide long non-coding RNA is filed under the name Aotus nancymaae (Ma's night monkey). Its description in RNAcentral is "lncRNA (ENSANAG00000038569.1)". The record is from RNAcentral. Lineage: Eukaryota; Metazoa; Chordata; Mammalia; Primates; Aotidae.